CACUCUUUUCCUACACAGGCUUGGGGCUUCUGAGUUGAUUCAUGUUUGCCUGUUUUACCACAGUUGGACACUUCCAUUUCAUCUUUUCAUGGGGGAAUUAGCAGAGUUUUCAGGAAACAAUACGAGCCACCACUCUUUUCAAUUGCAAGGGGGGAGAUUUGGCGUAGAGAGCAAGAUGUUCAUAAGGGCAUCUGUUACCUCUCCUAAU
Molecule: long non-coding RNA, 208 nt
Organism: Leopardus geoffroyi (Geoffroy's cat)
Lineage: Eukaryota; Metazoa; Chordata; Mammalia; Carnivora; Felidae
Exons: 2
Source: RefSeq, a predicted model, not a curated record